Molecule: ribosomal RNA, 703 nt
Filed under: Ichthyophonus sp. JLG-2013a
Lineage: Eukaryota; Ichthyosporea; Ichthyophonida; Ichthyophonidae
Description: eukaryotic LSU rRNA
Rfam family: 5.8S ribosomal RNA (bases 254-408)
Source: RNAcentral
GCGGAAGGAUCAUUACCAAAUAACGUUCCUGUGUCAAACAGGUCAAACCCCCAACCCCGGCCUGAUGGGAAACCAUUAGUGCCAUUAUUAACAACAACCGUUAUGUCGUGUUUAACUAGUAGGUAAAUUGAGCUAUACUUUUUUGGCACUUUUACCUAUUGGUUGUUUAUACAACACGGCAGUUUUAUUAAUAUAUAUACCCCAUUUAAAAACAAACUGGUGGCUAGAUGCUAAAAAAAAAAAAAAAUUAGACAACUUUUAACGGUGGAUCUCUAGGCUCGUGCAUCGAUGAAGAACGCAGCAAAAUGCGAUACGUAAUGUGAAUUGCAAAUCUUCGUGAAUCAUCGAAUCUUUGAACGCAAAUUGCGGUUCCAGGUAACUCCUGGGACCAUGCCUGGUUGAGUGUCAUCAAAAACCCAAACACUAUAUGUGGAAUAAAUGGGGUUCACAGGUAAAGAAAAUAUAUUUAUAAUAUAUUUCUUAAAACUCUGGGUGCCUUUAAAUUCAGGUCAAAAAGUAAUUUGCCUUUUCAUGGCUUUACUCAUCAUACGAUGUUUUUACAGGCAAUUUUUGUUGUUUUGUAAAUUAUAUCUGUGAAAGUAUAAGUAAUGAUUAUUGCAAAAUAAAUACUAGACAAUCAAAAAUGUAAUGUCAUUUAAAAUUUAAAAGACAUUAUAAUAAGAAAUUUGACCUCAACUCAGGC